Molecule: non-coding RNA, 54 nt
Organism: Gasterosteus aculeatus (three-spined stickleback)
Lineage: Eukaryota; Metazoa; Chordata; Actinopteri; Perciformes; Gasterosteidae
Source: Rfam
UUUAAAGUGUAAUGUAAGUCGCUUUGGAUAAAAGCGUCUGCUAAAUGUAAUACA